This 131-nucleotide small RNA is filed under the name Salmonella enterica subsp. enterica serovar Montevideo str. CDC 2010K-0257. RNAcentral describes it as "RtT sRNA". It matches the Rfam family "RtT RNA". Rfam says of the family: This family represents a bacterial cis-regulatory element known as RtT RNA. The exact function of RtT is unknown although it is thought that it may be involved in changing the cellular response in relation to amino acid starvation. The record is from RNAcentral. Lineage: Bacteria; Pseudomonadati; Pseudomonadota; Gammaproteobacteria; Enterobacterales; Enterobacteriaceae.
AUAUCUCUCUGUACGGGAAGGAUGAGAAGCUUCGACUAAGGUUCGAUUCGAGCGAAAGCGAGAAAGCGUUGCCGCAGGCAACGACCCGAAGGGCGAAGCGCGCAGCGCUGAGUCAUCCUUCCCCACCACCA